UACAGAGGUGGCAAGCGUUGUUCGGAUUUAUUGGGCGUAAAGGGUCCGUAGGCGGUUCGGAAAGUCGGAUGUGAAAUCCCACAGCUCAACUGUGGAACUGCAUUCGAAACUCCCGGACUAGAGUGUGAGAGGGGUUAAGGGAAUUCCCGGUGUAAGGGUGAAAUCUGCAGAGAUCGGGAGGAACACCAGUCGCGAAGGCGCUUAACUGGCUCAUUACUGACGCUCAGGGACGAAAGCUAGGGGAGCAAACGGG
RNAcentral lists this ribosomal RNA (253 nucleotides) under uncultured bacterium. Its description in RNAcentral is "partial 16S ribosomal RNA". It matches the Rfam family "Bacterial small subunit ribosomal RNA", at positions 524 to 776 of the family's 1533-position model. The record is from RNAcentral.